Molecule: long non-coding RNA, 694 nt
Organism: Solanum tuberosum (potato)
Lineage: Eukaryota; Viridiplantae; Streptophyta; Magnoliopsida; Solanales; Solanaceae
Exons: 3
Source: RefSeq, a predicted model, not a curated record
CAAAAACCCUGACCUGGCCCAAAUAACCCAACUAAAGACCGCAAUCCCUUCCCCAUUUUCAUUCAAUCAAAUUCUGAACCACAUAAGCGCCGCCUCUAGGACGUCGGGAAAAGACCGGCACGACCUCUGCUAUCGCCGUAGUUGUCUCCUCCACCCUCUCACGCCUCUUUGAAGCUUCUCACAGUUACAAAUAGCGAAUAGACCUCAAGAAGGAACACAACGACACUAAUGAUUUCUCCUUCUAACUCAACAGAUAAAAGAUUUUUCUAAGGUCCAUGGAUGAAUUCAACAUUCAACAGCCCCCCAAUGGCUCCAAAUAGCUAUGAAAAAUUGUUUGCUACUGUGUUGAUUCAAUGAAUUACUUCGGAAGCUGAGAUGAAAAUUAAGAAGGAUUGGAAGUUGUCAGAAGAACAAGGACAAAUUUCUAUAGAGAUAGAUAGAACGCUCCAAGAACAAAUGAUAUUAAAAGUGGACAAAGAGAUUAAAAGUGGUGGAUUCUAUAAUGUCGAGAAUUCAACAGGGGCAAGGUUCUUGCAUUAUCUCAAAAGCCAUCGACAAAGGAGGGGAGCUUGAAGACACUUAGUAGUUAAUUUUCUUUUUCAUUUGUGUAUAUGCAUAAAUGACAUUGAACAAUGAAUUAUUGUGAAUUAUAUAUUUUGUUGAUUUUUUUAGUAAUAGAAGUACUUGUUAUAUC